AUUGAACGCUAGCGGCAUGCCUUACACAUGCAAGUCGAACGGCAGCACGGGGGCAACCCUGGUGGCGAGCGGCGAACGGGUGAGUAAUGCAUCGGAACGUGCCCAUCGAUGGGGGAUAACUGCGCGAAAGCGUUGCUAAUACCGCAUACGACCUACGGGUGAAAGCAGGGGACCGCAAGGCCUUGCGUCGAUGGAGCGGCCGAUGCCGGAUUAGCUAGUUGGUGAGGUAAAGGCUCACCAAGGCGACGAUCCGUAGCUGGUCUGAGAGGACGACCCAGCCACACUGGGACUGAGACACGGCCCAGACUCCUACGGGAGGCAGCAGUGGGGAAUCUUGGACAAUGGGCGAAAGCCUGAUCCAGCAAUGCCGCGUGUGGGAAGAAGGCCUUCGGGUUGUAAACCACUUUUGGUGGGAAAGAAAUGGUCUGUGCUAAUACCACGGAUUGAUGACGGUACCCGCAGAAUAAGCACCGGCUAACUACGUG
RNAcentral lists this ribosomal RNA (485 nucleotides) under uncultured bacterium. RNAcentral's name for it is "bacterial SSU rRNA". It matches the Rfam family "Bacterial small subunit ribosomal RNA", at positions 29 to 507 of the family's 1533-position model. The record is from RNAcentral.